Molecule: transfer-messenger RNA, 354 nt
Filed under: Opitutales
Lineage: Bacteria; Pseudomonadati; Verrucomicrobiota; Opitutia
Also listed under: 1 other name
Description: Merdousia sp015061955 Standard tmRNA
Rfam family: transfer-messenger RNA
About the family: Bacterial tmRNA, also known as 10Sa RNA or SsrA, is named for its dual tRNA and mRNA-like properties. Its role is to liberate the mRNA from a stalled ribosome. To accomplish this part of the tmRNA is used as a reading frame that ends in a translation stop signal.
Source: RNAcentral
GGGGGUGUUCCGGAAUUCGACUGUUGAUUGUAGUUUAUGUCUGCGUGUCGGAGAUGAUACUUGGCUCCGUAAAAAUGUAUCACAAAAAACAAUAAAUGGCGAAGAAUACGCUAUUGCUGCUUAAUUAAGCGCAGCACGUCUGCUCAUCGACUCCCGAUAGAUGAAGUCAGGCGUCGACAUCGGGAACAGGGGUUGAAGUUGUUCUGUCGGGGCUUCCGCCGCCACUCACUGAUAGGUGCCUUGCCAAUGGCUGUCCGAGCCUAAUUGGCGAGAAAGAAUAAUUCGAGACUACACAUGUAGACGGCAUAUCCGAAGGUCAUUAGGACAGGGGUUCAACUCCCCUCACCUCCAAAU